Molecule: non-coding RNA, 271 nt
Organism: Ciona savignyi (Pacific transparent sea squirt)
Lineage: Eukaryota; Metazoa; Chordata; Ascidiacea; Phlebobranchia; Cionidae
Source: Rfam
CGUGCUAGGGAUAGGGAAUUGCAAUUAUUUCCCUUGAACGAGGAAUUCCCAGUAAGCGCGAGUCAUUAGCUCGCGUUGAUUACGUCCCUGCCCUUUGUACACACCGCCCGUCGCUACUACCGAUUGAAUGGUUUAGUGAGGUCCUCCGAUUGGACCCGGUCCGGGCGGCGACGUCCGAGCCGGCGUCCGAGAAGACGAUCUAACUUGAUCAUUUAGAGGAAGUAAAAGUCGUAACAAGGUUUCCGUAGGUGAACCUGCGGAAGGAUCAUUA